Molecule: ribosomal RNA, 339 nt
Filed under: Triticum aestivum (bread wheat)
Lineage: Eukaryota; Viridiplantae; Streptophyta; Magnoliopsida; Poales; Poaceae
Description: partial small subunit ribosomal RNA
Source: RNAcentral
CAUCUAUGUGGUUCUCGUCUCUCGUCUUUAGUUCAUCGUGGUGUUCUGGGGCCUGUCUCUGGUAAUGCUUCGUUGGAUUGUCUAGGUUGUAGACUUGGUAAGCAGAUUCAGCUACCCUAUCCUCACAUUGAGUCAGUGUCCGAGCGUCCCUUUGAUCUUGUUCACUCAGAUGUUUGGGGUCCGGCUCCCUUCGCUUCGAAAGGGGGUCAUCGCUACUAUAUUCUCUUUAUAGAUGAUUUUACUCGCUACACUUGGAUCUAUUUCAUGUCUUCUCGUAGUGAGGUCUUAUCUAUAUACAAAAAAAUUGCUGCCAUGGUUCAUACCCAGUUCUCCACUCCU